UACGUAGGUGGCAAGCGUUGUUCGGAAUUAUUGGGCGUAAAGGGCGCGUAGGCGGCCUGUUAAGUCAGCUGUGAAAGCCCGGGGCUCAACCCCGGAGGGUCAGCUGAUACUGGCAGGCUAGAGUACGGAAGAGGUAGCUGGAAUUCCCGGUGUAGCGGUGAAAUGCGUAGAGAUUGGGAAGAACAUCAGUGGCGAAAGCGCUCUACUGGACCUUAUCUGACAGUGAGGGACGAAAGCUAGGGGAGCGAAUGGG
Molecule: ribosomal RNA, 253 nt
Filed under: uncultured bacterium
Lineage: Bacteria
Description: partial 16S ribosomal RNA
Rfam family: Bacterial small subunit ribosomal RNA
Source: RNAcentral